GACGAACGCUGGCGGCGUGCUUAACACAUGCAAGUCGAACGGUGAAGCGCCUUCCUUUUUGGUGGGUGUGGAUGAGUGGCGAACGGGUGAGUAACACGUGAGUAACCUGCCCCCUUCUUCUGGAUAACCGCAUGAAAGUGUGGCUAAUACGGGAUAUUCUGGGUCUGUCGCAUGAUGGGUCUGGGAAAGAUAUUGUUUCGGUGGGGGAUGGGCUCGCGGCCUAUCAGCUUGUUGGUGGGGUGAUGGCCUACCAAGGCGGUGAGGGGUAGCCGGCCUGAGAGGGUCGACGGUCACACUGGGACUGAGACACGGCCCAGACUCCUACGAGAGGCAGCAGUGGGGAAUAUUGCACAAUGGGCGCAAGCCUGAUGCAGCGACGCCGCGUGAGGGAUGGAGGCCUUCGGGUUGUGAACCUCUUUCGCCAGUGAAGCAGGCCUGCCUCGUUUGUGGGUGGGUUGACGGUAGCUGGAUAAGAAGCGCCGGCUAACUACGUG
This 494-nucleotide ribosomal RNA is filed under the name uncultured bacterium. Its description in RNAcentral is "partial 16S ribosomal RNA". It matches the Rfam family "Bacterial small subunit ribosomal RNA", at positions 28 to 507 of the family's 1533-position model. The record is from RNAcentral.